UGGGGAAUUUUGGACAAUGGGCGCAAGCCUGAUCCAGCCAUGCCGCGUGAGUGAAGAAGGCCUUCGGGUUGUAAAGCUCUUUCGGACGGGAAGAAAUGGCGGGCUCUAACAUAGCCUGUCGAUGACGGUACCGUAAGAAGAAGCCCCGGCUAACUUCGUGCCAGCAGCCGCGGUAAUACGAAGGGGGCUAGCGUUGCUCGGAAUCACUGUGCGUAAAGCGCACGUAGGCGGCUUACUAAGUCAGGGGUGAAAUCCUGGAGCUCAACUCCAGAACUGCCUUGGCGACUGGUGAGCUUGAGUUCGGGGAAGGUGAGUGGAACUGCGAGUGUAGAGGUGAAAUUCGUAGAUAUUCGCAAGAACACCAGUGGCGAAGGCGGCUCACUGGCCCGAUACUGACGCUGAGGUGCGAAAGCGUGGGGAGCAAACA
RNAcentral lists this ribosomal RNA (427 nucleotides) under uncultured bacterium. RNAcentral describes it as "bacterial SSU rRNA". It matches the Rfam family "Bacterial small subunit ribosomal RNA", at positions 355 to 774 of the family's 1533-position model. The record is from RNAcentral.